Molecule: ribosomal RNA, 831 nt
Filed under: Polyscytalum grevilleae
Lineage: Eukaryota; Fungi; Ascomycota; Sordariomycetes; Amphisphaeriales; Phlogicylindriaceae
Description: eukaryotic LSU rRNA
Rfam family: Eukaryotic large subunit ribosomal RNA
Source: RNAcentral
UGCCCUAGUAACGGCGAGUGAAGCGGCAACAGCUCAAAUUUGAAAUCUGGCCUUUGGUCCGAGUUGUAAUUUGUAGAGGAUGAUUUUGGUGCGGUACUUUCCGAGUUCCCUGGAACGGGACGCCUUAGAGGGUGAGAGCCCCGUACGGUUGGAUGCCUAGCCUUUGUAAAUCUCCUUCGACGAGUCGAGUAGUUUGGGAAUGCUGCUCUAAAUGGGAGGUAAAUUUCUUCUAAAGCUAAAUACUAGCCAGAGACCGAUAGCGCACAAGUAGAGUGAUCGAAAGAUGAAAAGCACUUUGAAAAGAGGGUUAAACAGCACGUGAAAUUGUUGAAAGGGAAGCGCUUAUGACCAGACUUUUUCUAGGCGGAUCAUCCGGUGUUCUCACCGGUGCACUUCGCCUAGUUUAGGCCAGCAUCGGUUUUCGUAGGGAGAUAAAAGCUUCAGGAAUGUGGCUCCUUCGGGAGUGUUAUAGCCUGUUGUAUAAUAUCCUUAUGGGGACCGAGGUACGCGCUCUGCAAGGAUGCUGGCAUAAUGGUCAUCAGCGACCCGUCUUGAAACACGGACCAAGGAGUCGAACAUUUGUGCGAGUGUUUGGGUGUUAAACCCUCACGCGUAAUGAAAGUGAACGGAGGUGAGAGCCAUUUGGUGCAUCAUCGACCGAUCCUGAUGUCUUCGGAUGGAUUUGAGUAGGAGCAUAACUGUUCGGACCCGAAAGAUGGUGAACUAUGCGUGGAUAGGGUGAAGCCAGAGGAAACUCUGGUGGAGGCUCGCAGCGGUUCUGACGUGCAAAUCGAUCGUCAAAUCUGCGCAUGGGGGCGAAAGACUAAUCGA